This is a long non-coding RNA of Ipomoea nil (Japanese morning glory), 407 nucleotides long. RefSeq lists it as uncharacterized. NCBI's taxonomy places the organism in Eukaryota, Viridiplantae, Streptophyta, Magnoliopsida, Solanales, Convolvulaceae. The record is from RefSeq and is a predicted model, not a curated record. The transcript is spliced from 2 exons.
CUAUGCAAUAACUCUAUCAUCCUUGCUGUAAAUUCACUUUUGGUAACCGAAGCCCGGGCUCUCAGGCAUAUUAUUAAGAUGUCGAAGGAAGCAUUCGAGGCAGAAUUUGAGAGUAUGAGUCCGGGCAGACCUGAACGCGUCAGCCCUGGGGGACCUGAUCCUCAUCAUCACUUUUGAACAUUUCUAGUCUCUCAAUGCUUAUUAUGAUCAAUGGAACUCACAGAGAAAACAUUUUGUGUGUGCUAAAGCUUGCUGUGCUAUUUGUAAUUUUCCAUUGUCUAUGUUAGCUCUGUCUGCACUAUCUGAUGAAGGAGAGUUGGAAAUGGUCCAAAAAUGAUUGUUUGUGAGUUUUCAUUUUGAUUGUUCAAUAAAUGUAACUGUUGAAGAAUAAAAUGCCUUAUUAUUCA